This is a long non-coding RNA of Cynoglossus semilaevis (tongue sole), 10662 nucleotides long. RefSeq lists it as uncharacterized. The record is from RefSeq and is a predicted model, not a curated record. The transcript has 6 exons. NCBI's taxonomy places the organism in Eukaryota, Metazoa, Chordata, Actinopteri, Pleuronectiformes, Cynoglossidae.
AUCUGCCAUGGCUGGAGACAACCUACUUUUCCUCAUUAUUAGCAUCCUCAGGAACACGGUACAUGUGAGUAGAUAUUAUGAGAACAUGGGUUACGCUCUGCUGGGCAGAAAAAAUAUAGGACAGAAAAAUGAUAAGAACCCCAGAGCGCUGUCUUGGGUCUUCUAGUCCCUGCCCUGGCUUUUUCUCCUCAUCUGCUCCUUCUUCCUAAUUAGCUCCUACAGCCAGCACAGACUGGACACGGGCCUAGAACAAAGCCAGAUGUUCACAGAGAUUUCGCCUUGCAGGGGAGUCUUUUGUUUACUACAAGAUGGAAAGCACAUCUCUUGCCGUUUCUUUGCUGUGGGAGAGUUUUAUGGGAACAAAACCAUUGUGAACCUGUGGAUGCCAAGGAGGAGCUUUGAAGAAAAACAUUUCUUUUUAUUAAAUGUCAGACACCUUAGAGGCCGGUCACAUUGUUUUAGUGCACAAUCCACACUAUUGGACGUAUAUCGGUGGAAUCAGCAGAACCGUCAUCAGUUGCCUUUGCUGUUUUCCUCUCAUCCAACAUGGCGUGACAGCCAUUAUCCAGCUCAACAUUUAUCGCUGCGAAAUUGACGCAGAGCCUAUUUCUGGGAUGAUUAAUUUAGUGCUAGUGUGGCCACUGCUGGAGGAUCAGUCUUAAUCAGCAAAGAUGGGAGAAAGUCAUGGGUCCAUACAUCAGCCACUGCAGAGACGCAGUGGGAGAAAAAAAAUGAAGACACUUGGAUUUGACUCCAUUUCCAUCCCGGACUGAAUCUUGGAGAUUCUUGGAGGAUUGGGGGGAACAGGUCGAUGGCUUCAAUACAGAGUGUCAGUGCCCGAGUGUGAUUGGACAAUAAUACCCUCACUCUCAUCAGCAUCCUUCAGAUCCACUGUGACUGUAAUUGGGUUAAAGCACAGGGCUAAAACUAGUGAUGAGGGUGAUGAGUCUGACCGCAGUGAAGGAUUUUACAUGAAUCUGGCAGAGAGAGCUGAGAGAGUAACACUUGACGAAAUGAUCAGGUCGUGUCACUGAGUAAUUUUGCAUUAGUGCUACAACUGUGACUGUUGUAAAACCAGUGACUUCAUUUAUCGCAAAACAUAAUUUGGGGACUAUUUAUUGAAAUAGAAGUGACAGUCACUGAUAAAGGCGUCAAGUCUCCUUUUAGUACAUAAGUAGAAAUGUUCUUUUCAAACGUCAGUGUCCACUCGCUCACAGGCGUGCCUUAUGUGUGGCGUGGCUGCAAUAAAUCCACUAGGAAGCAUCCUUAGAGUUUGCGAUCCUCUGCCUGUUUCUUAGACAAUAACAGAUACUAAUAAAUAAAUAAUAAUACUGAUGACAUUAAAUAGAAAUUAUAUUUUUGUAUUUUUAUAUAUAAUAUAAUAAAUAUAUAUAAUAAAAACUAAUUUAGUCUUUGUCCGUAAUCAGUUAUGUUUUCUGUUUAUUUAACAGAUGUUGUCAACCAUGCUAGGAAUACAUUUCCUUUUAGUUUCUUUUUCUGGUAGCAUUUUGCAGGUCCCCGCUGAGUGAGAGCAUAUUCAGGCAGUUGAAGAUUAAGUUUGAUGUUAGGAUUACGAUGUGCCAAAUGUUUGGUGUAUGUAGAUUGGCGUUGUCUCACUUCCUGUUUUGUUUUGAAAUCCAUCCACACUCCUCUCUUUCAAUAUGGUUUCACUGUCAUUAGCUUCUCCACCUUGACCACCUGCACCUGUGUUUUCGUUAUCUCCACCUGUGAGUGGCUCAUGUCGACGUCACCUUAGAGGAGUUGAAAAGUUUUUAGGAGAGCUCUGAUUAAGAGAAGCAGUUGUAGUUGUGCAAUAAACCAAAUCACAAACAAAAUGCCUUUAAAAUGAGGGUGGAAUUAUUCUUAUGGUAUUGUGGAGCGGCUACGUGAGCAGGGGAUCCCCGUUGUUGUCCGUACAGAUCAAUGAAAGUGUCACAAAGGCAGGAGUAAAAAGAAGUUACCUUAGCUGCGGUCAUCUCACUGGGAAGUGAUUGAACAACUGUCAGCUGAGUCAUCGUCAUUAGCAAAGGCUACCAAUGAGGUCUACCAUCCGGGAAACUCUAUAGUGUUCGGAGGCCAGUUCUACGACAGCUUGCUGAAGUCUGAUCUAUAGGACAGGACAAGUUGGCAUCCAGCCUGUGCAAGGAGGUCACAUUGAAGAACAUAAAUACGUGGAAACAUCCAUCACAAAUUCCUAACAUCCAAAUGGGCCGUUCAACUAAUACAGAUGAGAGGAGAAACAGUAAUGAACGUGCUGGGUUGAAGUCACCACGGAAACGGCCCUGUGUCGAUCAAGGUGUCAGAAGUGAUUGGGACUGGACAGCACUCUGGCCUGGACCCAUGGGGUGCUUCUCAGAAAUGCAUGAGAAUGAAGCAAAUCUGUGGUGUGAAAGAUAAGAGCGGAAGCACAAUGGGGAAAAUGUGCUGCAGUCUUUUUAAAUGGGUCAACAAUGCAUAAGGAAACAGCUUCGCACUCAGGAGGGAGAAGGGUGAAAAUACAGUUCCGUUGCAGCCUUCAGGCUUCAUCUGCGUGUAUGUGAGUAUGUAAUAACCACGACACACACACACGCACACACACUGAUAUAAUGAACUGCAUUCCUUGGGUAAACACGACGGCGAUGUCGCACAAACACACACACACACAGGAUAUUGAAACCCUCUCAGGCACGUCGCAGCCAGUGUAAAUGAUGGAGAGGCCGGGCCAUGGAGCCCCCACCUCUCCAUUACUUUAUUCUCCUCUCUGAGCCCUCACAGGAUAAUACAAACACACACACAUGUUCAAACUGUACGCCUACAUAUCGCCUUCCUGCACACAUGCAGCGACACAGGGAGCGGAGACAUGUCACAAACUUUCACAAAGCUCCCCCCAGGCUUUGAUUGAUGGGCGGCGACGGAUCUCCCUCCUGUUUCAUACACAUAUAAUCUCAUUUGUGGGGGGCCCCAUGGUGGGAGCUGCAUCGAAACAGAGCUAAUAGAAGCAGUCAAGCUGUCCUUUUUCCUCUCUCCUCCCCAAGUCACGUCGUAUCCAUUAGGCUCUUUUAUUGCACCCUAUUAGUACUUGUAAAAAAGAAUUUCCUUCUGCUUAAAACACAAAGCUUUUCAGAUGCAUUAUUCAUCCUGGACUGAUCUUAAUGUAUCUCAUGUAGCCAAGGGUUCUCAGUCAGUGCAUCUUAAUAUUUUAGCAGUUACCUUAUUACACAGGAAGGACAGCCAAUGUCUGAUAGGUGGAGGUAUGUGUAAAGGGGAGGAACAGGUGCAUGGCUGUUAGAGCCUUGACAGAAAAAAAAUCAAUGUGAACCUGAACCCUGGGUGAAGGUUGUACCUAUUAAAUAUGCUCCAAUUACAGCAGUGUACUUGAUUAAAGUUUUUUCCCCUGUCACCCCAGAUAUGUAGGCAUCAUCUGCCAAACUCACAUGUUCCAUAAAACAGUUUUAAUUUCCCUUACCUGUAAGAGACUUCUAAGCCUUUUGUACAGCAGCCAACAGCUGCAGGGAAACCAAACUCCUUCCCUGUUACUUGUAAUGUGAGCUUUUAGCUUCUUUGUUGUGUUAGCCAGUCAUGAUGUGUGCUGGAGGUGUGCACACGUGCUCCAUUCUACAUGUGAAUCCCUGGCUGUGAAGCCCUCGGCCCUUGCCGUCCAGGUGGACUUCUUCAUCUCUGCUUCCUUUUUUAUGCUGCACUGUGCACACAACCAGUGUAAACACACCUGGCACUUGUCCACAGCAGCACAGAAACAAACUGCAGCUUGACUUUCUACAAGCAACUCGAAGCGCAGCACUGACGUGCCUACUCUGGUAGCUGUGCUGACAAACAUGUAGCAUGUUUAAGUUGGAAAGUACUUCAUGAAAUAGAUUUGUCUUUUUCUUUCUUAUUAUUGUCAAAAUCAUUUUCUUUUAUUGGCAGCUCUCAUCAAUUGACAAUCUGGCUCUGUCUUACCCUUGUAAGACACUUGUCGCUUUUAACUCACCUCAACCUCAUCCUUGACCUCCUCCCUCUCCAUGUACAUGCACCUUCCCUGCAGUCUCUUUUCCCAGGUCUGGUUGUUCUAUUUCCACCAUAUUUACCCAAACCAUCUCCACUUUGUCUCUCUAACACUGAUUUCAGCCUGUUCCUCUGAUCGGCUCUUUAUAAUCAGUUCACUCCCUAAGAGAAUCUCAGCAUCAUCAUUUCUGCAACCUCCAUCUCUGUCCCAUCUUUUAGAGAGUGCCACUAAUGAAGUACUUGACCUCAUCAACCUUCACUACCUCAACAUUUUUUUCACAGUUUUCAGACAUGAAAUAAUCUCAAAUGGAGACUUGGACUGGAGUCAGAAAACUGUUGUAUAUUGAACAGAGUGUAACGAUAAACCGGCCUGCACCACGCUGAGGACAUGAGGGAGGUUGUGGUUGUGGUUGAGGCCAUAAAAUGAAGUCACGACGCAUUCAUUUUGGUUUUGUGAUGCAAUGUCCGCUGAAAGUUGAUACUGUGAACACUUACAGGUCGGUGUAACCUUUAGCAUGCAAGUUCAAUUUGCAAUAAGGAGCCUAACUGUUGACUCGGUGUUGAAUUAUGGACCUAUGUGUCUGGCUUUCUCAUCUUCUGUUCUGUUCUUUUGAAGGCCUUGUGUGUAGAACAACACAACGGAUGCUGAAUAUGGUGUACACCAUCUUCCUCUUGACGAGGGGAGGGCCAUGGCCUCUGCUCCGAGUUUCCUUGACAUUCUGCACCCAUGUAAGCAACGCUGACAGUGUGUGAUUCAUCUGAUUAAUCACAGCCAGGGUGAAAAAGGACACCAAGGCAGUGAGAGAAGGAACAGACACUUUGCUCAUCAUCGGAUCAAAUAAAGCACAAAUAUCCCCUGUGCAAGCUGCUGGAACCAUCGUUCAGAGAACAAACAGAUUGAUGACUUUCCUGCCAAACAAGAACGAAAGAAUAACACCAUUACAGUCUGACUGAUAUGUUUUGGUUUUGUGUUUUUUUGUUUUGUUUUUUUUGUUUUUUUUUUGUUUUUUUUACAAUUAUUCGAGGUGUUGCAGUCCACUAAAUAUCACUGCCUAUUAGUUUCAGAAACAAACAAGCCCUAUGUCUGAUCAGUGUUGUGAUUCAACCCGUCGGCAGCGAACUAUUCCCUGGGGUUGUGCUUCAACACAGCAAAAUGAUGUUCUCAUUUAGCCAGUUCAAGUUUCUCCAAGUCUACACAAGAGUACAGCAAUGGAGGAAAAACAACGAACACCAGGGCUGCUCAUCAUAGACCUUGUGAGCCUUGUAAAACUGUACAAAAUGCCCUCCAACAAUUCACCGUGGUACAGAAAAAACACACACAACAGAGGCUGGAUUGCAGUGAUUGAUUGUGCCUCAGGAGAGGCAAAUCUGUAAAUAUGAAUCGGCUUUGUCCCCGGCAAAGCUUUAUCUGAUGUGAUCACUGCUUGUGUGAAAUGAAAUUCCAUUUUAGGCGACAUGAAAUUGAAAGGAGCAACGAAAGGAAGGUGACAUCCUCGAUGCUGCCACUUAAAAUCAGUGGUGUGGACAGCAAUCAAAGUGACAUGGGGUAAGAACUUCUCAACCACUACCGUUUUUUUUUUUCUCUCUCUCUCUUUUCUAGAAUUGUAUAAGCUUCUUGAAAUUAGCUGGUUAACUGUCUGGAGAACUCAGCUAACUGUCAUGUUUAUUACAUAUGGAGAAACAGAAGUAAUGCAAUUGUUUACCCCACAGGUAACAGCCUGUAUAUUAACUUAAUAUGCAGAGUAAUGUAACAGGAGCUGCAAAUGCCAGCUUUAGCAAUAUCUGAGUGCACCGCUCUGCUGCUGUAUCAGGUGAGUCUAAUCCUUUAGAUUAGCAAUCGCUUCAGAGCAAAUGCAUUCGAAUCACCUAACUAAAUUAUCUUUUAGAAAAAGCUGCCAACAAAAAACAAGCAGGCUUUUUGUGCAGCCCAAUUCCUUUAAUUUUCUCCCAGAACAAACAGCAAAACCCUGAGUGGCCAUAUUGAAUUAUUCUAUAAUGUUCCUGGGAAAUAUUAGCCACUUUGCAACUACUAUGAUUACAGCCGCGUAAUUAGGGUCCCUCCAUCCAUUUUCAUCGGCUUAUCCGUUACCUGGUCGGUAACCUAGUUACCUAGUCUCCAUGACCGCCACCCAAAUCACAUUGCACCGUACCAACCCCCCUAAAGUGGUGAGUCCACUGGAAGGUACCAACCGCCCUAACCGGGAUUCGAACUUGCCCAGGAGGUGAACCCUGGGGUUCCACACCAAUGACAGAGACAUUGCUUCUGGGCCAAAAGCGCCACCUACAAAGACAUACUGGCUUCAAAUUUUAGUCUAGCUGAAAACAUUUCUUACUUAGAUUGGCAGAGGGAGGGUCACAAUUUAGCUGAAUUACCAACAAUAAUGUCUCUACUCCUAAAGUACUGGCAUCAAUGGAAACAUAGUGUAUCAUCACAUUGGGCUCAAUGAGUGACUGACUGCCACAACUUUUUCACAGAUACAAUCACAAAAGCUGCAACUAAAGCCAAGGGUCAGGCAGUUUGUGAAGCUUUGGUCUGUGGGGGGUUUUAAAGCUACAUUUUGUAGGUUAAAAACAAAUCAAGCAGCAGGCAAAUAGGCACAUUUCCAUAUUGGUUUCCUGAUGGGCCCAGGGUCUGAAGGACAAUCACAUCUUACGUUUUGGGUACAAACACAUACAAGUGAGAGUCAUUUGCAUUGUUUGUCUCAUGUUAGCAAAUCAAGGUGGUGGAUUCACCCUAAGCAAAUCAGCUGCUCCACUGCCCUAUUAGGUUUGCGCAGAUGAGGUUGUACAUGCUGCGUUGCGCUACAAAAGGAACAGCUGGCCAGAGCACAGGUGGUGGACACCUGAGGGCUGAGUUUAAAGCCUAUGUUCGGCCCUAAGGCAAAAUGACCCCUGGUUUGAGUCUGUUCUUCACCUAUGCCUGCCUUGAGGGUGCUGUAGGUUUAAGAGCAUAAAACACACAAGCUGCUGCAGCUCAGUACUGAUUAUAAAACCCAUCCACCUGAGCAGCAGUGGCUGUUUGAAGUGCAAUGAUAAAACAAAAGCCCAUGGUUUGUGAUAAUUCAAUGGCUAAGUGAUUUCAUUUCUCACCGCGUUAUGGUUGGACAGCAUUUAUUUUUCUGGCACCGGGGAGAAGAAGAGAAGCCACUGCCAAAAGUCAUAAAGUUAAGUGUUGUGUUAAAGCCAUGCACUGCUCAUAAGAUUGCAGAUGCAAUAAGUGGACACAGGAUUGUAAAUGAGAAGAUGGAACAAGCCCCAGAACUAGCCAACCUUUGGAUGUGGGACACAUUGGUACGAAGGGAGCAGAAAUGUAAAGCUGAAUAAGUGCAGCUUUUAGUGCAGCUGAAAAACAAAUGGACUCCAGGCUGUUUAUCCUGUUUAAACCCAGGCUCAUUUCACACUUUACUAGAAAAUGUUGGCUAGAAGUGAUCUGCACCGCAAAAGUUUUCAUUUAACUGUAGUGUUAUCUUGCCUUACCUUAUCCACUUUAACUCAUUAAGAAAGGAAGCCACUCCCGUGUUUUUCCUUGGAAGAUUGCAAUGUAUUCUCAAACCAGUCUGAAGCUGUGAUGCCCCCAAGGACCAGAUGUGGCUCAAAUUUAAAACAUAACACUAGUAUAUGGCUCAUAUAUGGUUUACAAUUAUGUCACUAGUGGACCUAGUGUAGCAUUUACUCAAGUAAGCCAAAACCAGAGUAACCCUGACAUAAUACAACAGUUGCCGAUAUUUCAUAAAACGGUUCAUAAAAAUAAAAAUAGCUAAGAAAUGCCAUUUCAAGUCGUAAUCCAAUGGCAAAAUUUGGGACAAAUUCUUCUUUAGGCUCAAGGCUACUUUCCGGGCCAUGUAAAAGCCAAGUAGUUCCAAAUAAUGACUAAAUAUGGCUGAACCAAACUGCUUUUGGUCCUUCUCAUUUAAGGGCCUUGUGAUUUGAAAGUGUGUUCCAAAUCGGUGUAUGUGUACUGUACCAGUCUUAAGGUAGGGUCAAGGGUCAUGUGCAGUGUAGAUUAAGUCAACACUAAAAAGCAAAGGGCCUGUACAUUUGGAUCUUUCUUUUAUUUUUUUAAAGUUUUAUUUGUAAGAAAGGGAAAGAAGAAUUUGAAAGAACCCAGGGAAUAUUAGAGCAUUAACACAAAGUGCAUUCCUUCUCUGGCCUGUCACUAUUUUCUUUGUCCUGCUUAGUGUUUGUUCCAGCUCACCUUAAUCACUGAUUAAAUGUCUGAAAUGGCUGAACUGAAAAGCUCAACUGUCCAAUAAACACCCCUUUGUUUUGUGGUUACCUGCCCAGGCUGGUUGGCCAAGCACUUAGUGAAAGAUUAGGGUCGGUGAGAAUAGAACAAAAAAAAAAAGAAGGGCGAAACCUGAACCCUCACAGAGAUUACAGUCCACCCUAUUCUCUUUCUCUCUGUCCCUCCCUGUCUUUUUCAUUCCACUCAAUCCCUUGUGAGACAGUGGGGGCCAUUCUCCACAGCGCUAACAGGGCUGCCUUUCUUGGGCCUGUCUGUCUCACUGCUCGCAGAUAGAAAACAAAACGUGUGUUAGGAAAAAUAAAUCAGACAUUGGAGGUGAAAACUAAACUACAAAACGUUCUUUAUCUACACUUGUGCAAUUUAAAGGAUAUUGUCCACGUUAUAAUUUUCUGUAAUCCAAUAAUUCCAUGAACCGACGUUCACAAGUGUCCUUGAACAUUUCAAUGCGGCUCUGCCUCCGGAGGCAGAAUGUUUCUGCGCACAGCAUCCCUAAAAUCAAGUGCAUGACCACUUCAGCGCUUAAUUCACCACUGCACUUUAAUGCAAGAAUUGAGGCACACAAAUAUGUGCACCUUCUCCUGUAAGCCAUUAAAUUACCUUCCAUUCACCCUCAACUGAAUCAACACUGAGUAUUUACGGAGCCCGUAGGAUAUAAAAGGCAAUUUUAAUAUCUGCUUGCUGUUAUAUAUUAAAAAACUAACAGGAUGCAAAACACAGUAACCACCGCUGAUGUGCCCCAGUUGGCCUGUAAAUGCUUUUCUUUACGAUUUUACACUUCAUGCUGUCCGAAUGAUUUUUUUCAGAGACUUUCUCUAUUUGUAUGUGUGUGUAUAUAUAUAUAUACAUAUGUGUGUGUGUGUGUGUGUGUGUGUGUGUGUAUUUAGAGUGUAGUAGCAGUAGCACACAAUACAUGCUGGUGCCACUGCUGCAAAAGAGUGGCCUUUUAAUUAUGCAGGAGACUUCCAGAAGAAACAGCACUUCUCACACCCUGGGAAGGCAGCACGGCAAAUACACCGUAUCACAAGCUCAGAAAGGAAGUGGAAACGACUGGAAAAGUGCCAUACUCUGUGUGUGUGUGUGUGUAUAUAUAUAUAUAUAUAUAUAGAGAGAGAGAGAGAGAGAAGAGAUAUGAAGAGGAGAAUUUUAAAAACGAAACCACCACAGAGAACACCAUUGUAAGGGAUGGGUUGUGGCUACAAGCUAAAAAAAAAAAAAAACAGCUGAAAAAGAUUCAGAAUUUCAGGAGGCAGCACGCUUGGCUGCAAGAUUUUCAAGGAUGUUCUAGCCAGGGUCAAAGCGUGACAGUGGGCAAGAAAAACCUGAGUGUAGGGAGAUAUCAAGGAGUAAACUCACAAGCAGAAGGUGAAAAAAAAAUAGAGGAAACAGUGAGGAGCUGCUGACGCCAGGUAAAGUUAAAAAAAAAAUAGGAAUCAAUAAAACAUUACAGCGCCAUAGAAAACACAUUAAACAAAACUGUUCCCUUUCCCAGGAAUUCAAAUGAGGUGGCUUCAUGUUUAUGCAUUUACAUUUUUGCUGCUGUUGCACGAAAAACGGGACAAAAAAGAUUAACUGAAUGGAAUGUCACAGCACCUACAUCUACACUAAGUCAGAAUGAGAGGGAGAAAAGGUGGAGAGUGAGAGAGGAGACGAGGUAAAGAGAUACAAAUAAGGGAAUGAGAGAAUCAGAGGCAUAUAUGGACAGUGACAUUAAAAUGUCAGGUCAAUGAAUUGGUGCCGACACUCGAGUGGAGAAGAAUGUUAAUAUGUCUCCCGGACCAGAUGUUCUUAAUCAAGGCCAGACUGUAAAACGACUGAGUCACAAAGCUGACAAAGCCAUGUUUGUGCUGCAUCUAACCUACAAUCUACCUUUGUGCUUUUGUCUGCCUUUUUUUUUCUUUCUAUCCUGUGAAGAAAAGCUAGCCUUGUUACAGACAGGAGCAGAGCAAGACAGGACAGAGACAAGCUUGACAUGGGCUAAAGGUAGUGGUGGUGGUAAGGAGGAGGGGGUCUGCAGCCACCCCCUGCCAUGCCUCCCCAGAGACAGAAAAUUGCUGCAAACCAAAGCCUUAUGUGAGCUGUCUGACACACAUUCACUGAUGCAGACUCCACACAUGCUUGGAUAAAAGUUAAAAAAAAAGAAAAAACGUCCUUUGACAUGUUCGGUCGUAUGAGUGGUAACCCUGUAUGCCCCCAGACCCCUGCUUUUCUUCCUGCUAAUCUAAACCUUACUUCUUCCUUUUCAAUAUAACAUGUGAAUGGCACUCCAAACCAAAACAGAUCAAUGUUGCUAACUUGACACACAUUAGCACCAUAAAGGCAACAAGACUACUGAGACUGGUCCUGUCAGAAGGCAUUAUGGGAGAGAAAACACUGAACAGAAAGAACAGGAGACAUUUAAGGAGAGAAGUGGAAGGAAGGAAAGAAGGAAAGGAGGA